RNAcentral lists this long non-coding RNA (1819 nucleotides) under Papio anubis (olive baboon). RNAcentral describes it as "lncRNA (ENSPANG00000042255.1)". Lineage: Eukaryota; Metazoa; Chordata; Mammalia; Primates; Cercopithecidae. The record is from RNAcentral.
CUAUAACUAGUCUCAUGUUUCAAGUGCAAAGGCAAACUAUAUUAUCACAAUAUAAAUAUUUUCAUGUGAAAAUAUAAGAAUAAAGUCUCAUGCAUAUUCAUGUAAAACAAAAAAAGUAUAUGGCUACAAAAUGUCCUGUGUUGGCAAUAUUUUCAUCAUAAUCAGCAUUCCUGUUUCUCUUAACCAAUCUUCUAUCAUUGAUAGAAAAGAACUAUCAAUAUUUUAAUAAGAUUAAGUUAGAAAGGAAAGUAUAACAGUGCUUAUUUUAUUCCACUCAGACUCCACUACAGACCUGGAUGUGGUCGUGCCUGUGGAGGCAGAAGGGCUGUGGGGAGUUUUCAUUCAGCAGCCUAGUCUGUAGGCUGAGGAGGAGGAGAAAAAGGAAUGCAUCUAGAUGUCUCCGAGGUGGCAAAGGCUGAAUACAAUCUGUGUAUAAGCCUACUGGCCCAGUUCAAACCUGUUUUGUACAAGGGUCUACUGUAUAAUGGGUAAGGAAAAAAUUAAAUCUUUUUGGGAUGCCAUUUUCACAACAAUAAGUAUUGUGUUCAAUUUACAAGGUGAUGUCAGAAGACAUUAUAUUUAAAAAAAUCAUAAUCACAAAGAAAUUUCAAAACUGAGAAAUAUUUAUUUCAUUAAAUUCUAAUGGGUCAAAACCAACAUAGUUUUGCAGAUUUGCUGAAACUUUCAGGAAAUAAUGUGUAUUUCACUGGGUAAAACAGAAAAAGUCAUAUUUGUGCUGAUGUGUAUUACAUAAACCAAAAUAGAAAUUAUAUGCUUAUCUGAUUAGAAUAUGUUCUUUAAUUUAUUUAUUUUAUAUUGACAAAUAAUUGUAUAUGUUCAUGGGGCAUAAUAUGAUGUUCUGAUGUUUCCUUACAAUGUGGAAUGUUUAAAUCAGACUAAUUAAUAAGUCCUUCACCUCACAUACUUAUUUUUUUAUGAUGCCAAUUUUAAAAAAUCUAUUCUUCUAACAAUUUUAAAAUAGAUAAUAUACUAUUAUUUAUUAUAGUCACAAUUCUGUACAAUGUAUCACUAAAACAUAUUUCUUCUAUCUGAUAGAAACUUUGUACCCUUUGAUCAACAUGUCCCUUUUCCUCACUGACCACUCUUCCCUAUCCCCUGGCAAUCCCCGUUCUACUCUCUGCUUCUAUGAGUACAACUUUUAAAGAUUCCACAUAUAAGUGAGAUCGUGUGGUAUUUGUCAUUCUGUGCCUGGCUUGUCUCAUUUUGCACAACAUCUUCCAGGUUCAUCCAUGUUGUUGCAAAUGACGAUAUUUAUUCCUUUUUUACAGAUGAAUAAUAUUUCAUUACUUACACAAACAUACCUCAGAUAUAUUGUGGUUUGGUUCCAAACAGCCAUAAUAAAGUGAAUAUUGCAAUAUGGCAAGCCACAUAAUUUUUUUCUGAUUUCCCAGCACAUACAGAAAUUAUGCUUACACUAUACUGUAGUUAAGUGCAAUAUCAUUAUGUCUAAAAAGUACAUACUUUACUUAGAAAGUACUUUAUUGCUAAAAUGUUAACAGUAAUCUGAGCCCUUAGUCAUAAGUUUUUUCUUAUAGAAUAUGUUGCUUCAAGGUUGAUGGCUGCUGACUGAUGAGACUAGUGGUUACUGAAUGUUGGGGUAGCUGUGGCAAUUUCUUAAAAUAAGAAUGCAAAGAAAUUUUCCGUAUUGAUUGACUCUCCCUUUCAUGAAAGAUUUAUCUGUAGCAGACAAUGAUAUUUGAUACUAUUUUACUCACAGUAGAACUUCUUUCAAAAUACAAAUCAAUGUUCUCGAACCCUGCUGCUGCUUUAUCAACUAACAUUGCAUAAUAUUCCAAAU